AGUGAACGCUGGCGGUAGGCCUAACACAUGCAAGUCGAACGGCAGCACAGCAGUAGCAAUACUGUGGGUGGCGAGUGGCGGACGGGUGAGGAAUACAUCGGAAUCUACCUUUUCGUGGGGGAUAACGUAGGGAAACUUACGCUAAUACCGCAUACGACCUUAGGGUGAAAGCGGAGGACCUUCGGGCUUCGCGCGGAUAGAUGAGCCGAUGUCGGAUUAGCUAGUUGG
This 228-nucleotide ribosomal RNA is filed under the name uncultured bacterium. RNAcentral describes it as "partial 16S ribosomal RNA". It matches the Rfam family "Bacterial small subunit ribosomal RNA", at positions 29 to 252 of the family's 1533-position model. The record is from RNAcentral.